AAAGUUUGACAGACAAUCGCUGGUGGCUGAUGAGGCCGCGAGAGGAAAGUCCGGGCUCCGAAGGGCGAAGAUGCUGGAUAACAUCCAGUCGGCGCGAGCCGAAGGAUAGUGCCACAGAAAUGGACCGCCGAUGACCGGUUAGCCGGAACAGGCAAGGGUGGAACCGUGGUGUAAGAGACCACGAGGACCGUUGGUGACAACGGUGCUGGUAAACCCCAUCUGGAGCAAGACCGAGAGAACGAAGCAGACGAGCGGAUUAGUCCGUUUGCGCUGCACCCUUGCCCGGGGAGCGUUCGGGUUGGUUGCUUGAGCUGAUUAGCAAUGAUCGGCCUAGAUAGAUGAUUGUCGCUCAAAAGUGGGAGGGUUGUUCCCGUUCGAACCACAGGCGAGCACAGAACCCGGCUUACGGCAAACUUUCCAU
RNAcentral lists this RNase P RNA (421 nucleotides) under Paenibacillus baekrokdamisoli. Its description in RNAcentral is "Bacterial RNase P class A". It matches the Rfam family "Bacterial RNase P class A". Rfam says of the family: Ribonuclease P (RNase P) is a ubiquitous endoribonuclease, found in archaea, bacteria and eukarya as well as chloroplasts and mitochondria. Its best characterised activity is the generation of mature 5'-ends of tRNAs by cleaving the 5'-leader elements of precursor-tRNAs. Cellular RNase Ps are ribonucleoproteins. The record is from Rfam by way of RNAcentral. Lineage: Bacteria; Bacillati; Bacillota; Bacilli; Caryophanales; Paenibacillaceae.